UCCCUGGUGACUCAGUCGGUAAAGAAUCUGUCUGCGAUGCAGGACACCUGGGUUUGAUCCCUGGCUUGGGAA
RNAcentral lists this transfer RNA (72 nucleotides) under Bos taurus (domestic cattle). It matches the Rfam family "tRNA". From Rfam's summary of the family: Transfer RNA (tRNA) molecules are approximately 80 nucleotides in length. Their secondary structure includes four short double-helical elements and three loops (D, anti-codon, and T loops). Further hydrogen bonds mediate the characteristic L-shaped molecular structure. tRNAs have two regions of fundamental functional importance: the anti-codon, which is responsible for specific mRNA codon recognition, and the 3' end, to which the tRNAs corresponding amino acid is attached (by aminoacyl-tRNA synthetases). tRNAs cope with the degeneracy of the genetic code in two manners: having more than one tRNA (with a specific anti-codon) for a particular amino acid; and 'wobble' base-pairing, i.e. permitting non-standard base-pairing at the 3rd anti-codon position. Lineage: Eukaryota; Metazoa; Chordata; Mammalia; Artiodactyla; Bovidae. RNAcentral also lists the same sequence under 3 other names. The record is from Rfam by way of RNAcentral.